Molecule: long non-coding RNA, 196 nt
Organism: Etheostoma spectabile (orangethroat darter)
Lineage: Eukaryota; Metazoa; Chordata; Actinopteri; Perciformes; Percidae
Exons: 3
Source: RefSeq, a predicted model, not a curated record
CAUGUUUUACUAAAUUGCCAGCUUGAUCAUUAAAUAGCUAACUUACUGAGUUAACUUUUUCUUUCCACUCCAGCUGAGUGUUCCAUGGUGAAAGACACAGUGAUCACAUUCAACAACAGGAAAUUCAAGAACGAGAUGCCCCACUCUUGUGCCCAGGUUUUGGGUCAGGAUUGUACCCGGAACUUAAAUUCCCUGU